Molecule: non-coding RNA, 1074 nt
Organism: Chlorocebus sabaeus (green monkey)
Lineage: Eukaryota; Metazoa; Chordata; Mammalia; Primates; Cercopithecidae
Source: the annotation of a RefSeq genome assembly
UUUGCAUGAACAGCCCCUCCUCUGCAGAGGGUGGGAAGAAAAGGAGGCCUGGGGCAGCCCAGCCCCACUGCGGGGAAAGAGGCUGUGUCCACCAUGGCCUGGACUCCUCUCCUCCUCCUGCUCCUCUCUCACUGUACAGGUUCCCUGUCACAGCCUGUGCUGACUCAGCCAACCUCCCUCUCAGCAUCUCCUGGAGCAUCAGCCAGACUCACCUGCACCUUGCGCAGUGGCAUCAGUGUUGGUAGUUACAGGGUACUCUGGUACCAGCAGAAGCCAGGGAAUCCUCCCCGGUAUCUUCUGAACUACCACACAGACUCAGAUAAGGGCCAGGGCUCUGGAGUCCCCAGCCGCUUCUCUGGAUCCAAAGAUGCUUCGGCCAAUGCAGGGAUUUUACUCAUCUCUGGGCUCCAGUCUGAGGAUGAGGCUGACUAUUACUGUGCCAUUUGGCACAGCAGCGCUUCUCACAGUGACACACACACAUGGGGAAGUGGGACAAAAACCUCACCCUGAUCUGGGUCUUGUUCCAUAACAGUUUUUAAAUUUUAAAAUAACCGGCCUAGGCACAAACUACAUUUGGAAGUACUUUCUAGCUGUAAAAGGCUCUUCUCUCAAUUUCCCAUCCAUCCUUCUGAAGUCUCAGUAAAACAAAGCGAAACCAAACCACCUGAUGAUCCUGAAGUGUUGGCUGCGUGUCCGUAUGUGCUAAACACCAGUGCCUGUGGAGCUGGACUAUUUUUUUUCUUGAAAGAAGCAAAAUGAGCCUUUCCUAGCUCACAGCAUGGUCAGAGCCUGGGGACAUGGUAGCAGGUGAACAGUCCCCUGCAGCAUGGACUCUGCUCUUCCAUUGUACAAGCAGAGACCUCCCUUCCAUCCCCAGUAGUCUGUUCUCAGGGCUGUCUGAGGCUCACUGUGUCCCAGGAACAAGGCCCUCAAAUAUGAAAUGCUGCCUGAGGACACAGGUCAGGGAGGAAUUCCGGACAGAGAGCUGACCUGGCUCAGUCCUGGGCACCUGCAUUUCAGUGGAAAUGUCAGGAGAUGGGGUUAGGUCUGAGGGUAACUGUGGACCUGAGGCCA